This 768-nucleotide ribosomal RNA is filed under the name uncultured Gemella sp. RNAcentral's name for it is "bacterial SSU rRNA". It matches the Rfam family "Bacterial small subunit ribosomal RNA", at positions 28 to 776 of the family's 1533-position model. Lineage: Bacteria; Bacillati; Bacillota; Bacilli; Caryophanales; Gemellaceae. The record is from RNAcentral.
GACGAACGCUGGCGGCGUGCCUAAUACAUGCAAGUCGAGCGAAGAAUUUCUGGUGCUUGCACUAGAAAUUCUUAGCGGCGAACGGGUGAGUAACACGUAAAGAACCUGCCUUAUAGACUGGGAUAACUACGGGAAACUGUAGCUAAUACCGGAUAACAACAUUUUCCGCAUGGGAGAUGUUUAAAAGUUGGUGAAGCUAACACUAUAAGAUGGCUUUGCGGAGCAUUAGCUAGUUGGUGGGAUAAAAGCCUACCAAGGCGACGAUGCAUAGCCGACCUGAGAGGGUGAACGGCCACAUUGGGACUGAGACACGGCCCAAACUCCUACGGGAGGCAGCAGUAGGGAAUCUUCCGCAAUGGACGAAAGUCUGACGGAGCAACGCCGCGUGAGUGAAGAAGGAUUUCGGUUCGUAAAGCUCUGUUGUUAGGGAAGAAAGGUUGUGUAGUAACUAUACACAAAACAGACGGUACCUAACCAGAAAGCCACGGCUAACUACGUGCCAGCAGCCGCGGUAAUACGUAGGUGGCAAGCGUUGUCCGGAAUUAUUGGGCGUAAAGCGCGCGCAGGUGGUUUAGAAAGUCUAAUGUGAAAGCCCACGGCUCAACCGUGGAAGGUCAUUGGAAACUGAUAAACUUGAGUGCAGGAGAGAAAAGUGGAAUUCCUAGUGUAGCGGUGAAAUGCGUAGAGAUUAGGAGGAACACCAGUGGCGAAGGCGGCUUUUUGGCCUGCAACUGACACUGAGGCGCGAAAGCGUGGGGAGCAAACAGG